GUUUGUUUUUCUUCCACACAGUCUAUGCAAGUCAGAAUCAACCUCCAUCCGCCUCCAUCCUUUAUGAGACCUAAGACGUGAUGCAGCUCCAAUGGGAAAUAUCAGUUGUGUCUCUACCAAGGAUGCAGAAAAAGACAAGAUUCAGGCUUGUUUCCGGUAAGAAACGCUGACAGAAAUUCAGAAGAACGGGAGCUGCAUUCCAUUAGGACUUGAAUACACGAAAUGUUCGUCUCAGGACCUUCUAGAAGAAUGAGCUGGGACCCACUUUCCGAGUCCUGCUGGAACCAGUGACCGAGAUAUUGCCCAGGUGGCUGAGGCCUGCACUAGGGUACCUACCUCCUUUUCGGAUAGACUGUAUUCCCUUUCCAUGUUUUAGCUGUACCUGUGACACAGGACACGAGAGAAUGUGCUCAUGUGAAUACAAGUGAAGGACACCGUGGGGACUUGCCACACAGAUAUUUGUGCCCAGGGCACACCUGAAGGGACUCUGGACAGCAUGUUUACCAAAAUGCUGAUGGGUAUGAAAUUUACAUUCUAAAGGACACAUACAAAAAUAUAAAUUGGAGUGAAGGCAGUUCGCAUUUUCAAAUUGUAACGAUACCCACAGAUUUUUCUGAGUACGUUAAAAUCCUCAAUAGAAGGAAACAGGAGAGGAAGACACAGCAAGAGCAAAGAUUCCACAUUGAGGAGAUCCACAAAGAAUGAGGCAAGAGACGCCUGUACCAACCCAUGGUGGGGGAAAAGACGAAGAUGAGAUCCUGAGCAACUUGAGGAUUGUGGUAAUGGCAGCAGACACAUUCCCCUUGCAUCACAAUGGUCUGUGGUACCGCCUCUGCACCUUGGCCCAGGACCUAACAGCAACAAAAUAAGGAUCCAAGAGAGUAGCAUCAGUACCUGAAAACUCUGUCCCUGCCACUGGAUAGCACCUACAGCUUGGGGUAGUAGAUGCAAGAGGUUAACCUACUGCCACCACACAUCACUGCCCACGUCUGUGGAAGAAAAUGGCAACGGUCCUGUCCUAACGGGUUAACAGAAGUAAUUACAGAUUAAUGAAGUAGCAUUCUCCAGACAGGCAGCCAUCGAUGUCCAGGUUCACCCUGCAUCCCUCCUCUACGCCAACUCCAGAUGCUCUGCUUUUGCUAUAUUAAGAACACACAAAAAAUGAGUGGGAACAAAUGGCUCAUAUUCUGCUCAUGGAAUCACAGCCACUCCUGGCAAAAUAUUCUGCAGCCGGACCCUCACUGUGCCUCCUCUGCUCCUCUCCCUGAGAAAGGAGUCUUCCCUCUUGAAGUGUUGUCAAAGGCCUCGGAGACCUGUGGGCAGUGGAGGAUGCCUGGAAUCUUGCAGGGGAAGGAGAGUCUUCUGUGAAGAACGAGUUACUUGUGGUGAAUGUCUACAAAGCUCAGAUGUGUUCAUCUUAAUUCAUAGGGAAUUCUGACUUUAAGCAUACGACAGGACACAGAGUCAUUAUGUGCAAUGGAAAAAAAGAGGGAGAAUUUCACAUAACAGAUUUCACGCAAGUGUUUUGGUAUAAAACUGGUAUGUGUCAUGAGACUAUAUCAGCUCUAACAGUGACUGGGGACACAACCAGCAACUGCUCAUAGAAACACAAUUGAAGGACACAGUGUGCAAAUUGUUUUUACCUAAGGUAUAGCUGGAGGAUUCCAGACAAGUCAUUUACCGACAAAGACGGACAGGUGAUGAGUGAUGAUAUUGGCUUUCUCUGUGACCACUCUAAAUGGCACAGGGCACAUAAUAGAAAGUUGGAGUCAUGAUGUCGUUUCUAACAGGUUCAUCUCCUAGCCAGAAUCAAGAAAGGAAGACACAGCAGCCACACUGUUCCCACAGAGGUGAGGUCUGGAAAGGAUCACCCAGGCCGGGAGACAUCUGUUUGGAGUGUGCAGUCAUCCUCCUCUCAUUAUUUCCUGAACCUCACGGAAAAACCUUAAGACCACACAGGAACAGGCUGCACAGCAGAAAUUGGACUGCAGCACAUCACAACGUGCUCCUUACCUCGCCUUGGAGGGUUCUUGCAGUGAUUGGUUUCUGCCUCGUGUAUCCCUCAGGCAGCCUCUUUGCUUCCAUCCCGUCCAGUCUUGGAUACAGAAAAAUAAUGGACUUCUAUAAGAGUUGCAACACCACGUCGUCUACUAGACAACUAACAGUGCAGGCGUCAUCCCUGGAAACACCCAAGUCAAAUGACCACACCUGUAUUUCAAGGUUGCAAAGACGAGGGCCAUGAAAUGGCACUACCACGUUGAUGGGUAUGAUUCAUUGUACGACACACUGCUUUCCUACAGAUGACGACAAUUGACACCACCCCCGAGGAAUGUUAGCAUGGACAAAGUUUCCACACAGUCUGGUCACUACUUGAGAUCUGCAAAUGUUUAGAAACUUAAUUAUUUUAUUCUUUCUAAAACUUACCUUUUUUAUCUGUUAAUACUCUAUGCAUAUGUUGACUUUAAACUUUUCAAAAAGAUUAAAAACCAAAAAAUGAA
This is a long non-coding RNA of Felis catus (domestic cat), 2498 nucleotides long. RefSeq lists it as uncharacterized. The record is from RefSeq and is a predicted model, not a curated record. NCBI's taxonomy places the organism in Eukaryota, Metazoa, Chordata, Mammalia, Carnivora, Felidae. The transcript is spliced from 9 exons.